UCCUAGGGGGGCAGCAGUAGGGAAUAUUGCUCAAUGGGGGAAACCCUGAUGCAGCGACGCCGCGUGAGCGAUGAAGUAUUUCGGUAUGUAAAGCUCUAUCAGCAGGGAAGAAAAUGACGGUACCUGACUAAGAAGCCCCGGCUAACUACGUGCCAGCAGCCGCGGUAAUACGUAGGGGGCAAGCGUUAUCCGGAUUUACUGGGUGUAAAGGGGGCGCAGACGGCGAUGCAAGCCAGGAGUGAAAGCCCGGGGCCCAACCCCGGGACUGCUCUUGGAACUGCGUGGCUAGAGUGCAGGAGGGGCAG
This 305-nucleotide ribosomal RNA is filed under the name uncultured bacterium. Its description in RNAcentral is "bacterial SSU rRNA". It matches the Rfam family "Bacterial small subunit ribosomal RNA", at positions 337 to 660 of the family's 1533-position model. The record is from RNAcentral.